RNAcentral lists this ribosomal RNA (253 nucleotides) under uncultured bacterium. RNAcentral's name for it is "partial 16S ribosomal RNA". It matches the Rfam family "Bacterial small subunit ribosomal RNA", at positions 524 to 776 of the family's 1533-position model. The record is from RNAcentral.
UACGUAGGGGGCAAGCGUUGUCCGGAUUUAUUGGGCGUAAAGAGCGUGUAGGCGGCCUGACAGGUCUGCUGUGAAAACUCGAGGCUCAACCUCGAGAUGUCGGCGGAAACCGUCUGGCUAGAGUCCGGAAGAGGAGAGUGGAAUUCCUGGUGUAGCGGUGAAAUGCGCAGAUAUCAGGAAGAACACCCGUGGCGAAGGCGGCUCUCUGGGCCUUACCUGACGCUGAGGAGCGAAAGCUGGGGGAGCGAACAGG